AUGUUUGUGUUUGUUAUUCGAGCACUUUCAGCCAUGGUUAAGGAUAAGACUCACAUCAACAUCGUGGUGAUUGGCCAUGGCAACUCUGGCAAGUCGACCACCACUGGCCAUCUUGUCUAUGAGCUUGGAGGCAUUGACAGGCGUGUGAUCGAGAGGUUCGAAGAUGAAUCAGCUGAGAUGAAGAAAUGUGGCAAGUACGCAUGGGUGCUUGACAAGCUGAAGUCUGAGCGUGAGAGGGGUAUCGCCAUUGAUAUUGCCCUGGGGAAGUUCGAGACCACCAAGUACAACUUCAGUGUCCUUGACAUCACUGUUACCUCCUAG
RNAcentral lists this ribosomal RNA (321 nucleotides) under Triticum aestivum (bread wheat). RNAcentral describes it as "partial small subunit ribosomal RNA". Lineage: Eukaryota; Viridiplantae; Streptophyta; Magnoliopsida; Poales; Poaceae. The record is from RNAcentral.